Molecule: ribosomal RNA, 253 nt
Filed under: uncultured bacterium
Lineage: Bacteria
Description: partial 16S ribosomal RNA
Rfam family: Bacterial small subunit ribosomal RNA
Source: RNAcentral
GACGAACCGUGCGAACGUUGUUCGGAAUCACUGGGCUUAAAGGGCGCGUAGGCGGGCCAGCAAGUCAGGGGUGAAAUCCCGCGGCUCAACCGCGGAAGUGCCUUUGAUACUGCGGGCCUGGAGGGAGGUAGGGGCGUGCGGAACUUCCGGUGGAGCGGUGAAAUGCGUAGAUAUCGGAAGGAACACCGGUGGCGAAAGCGGCGCGCUGGACCUCUUCUGACGCUGAGGCGCGAAAGCCAGGGGAGCAAACGGG